CUGUUAGAGAGCACCAGUUCCUUCAGGAUCACCUGCCAGCUGUGGUGCUGUACCUUUUACAUCACGACUCUGAGAUGACACCUCUCCUUGCUGGCAGACAGGCCAGGCAACAUCUUGUGUGGUCCAUCAGCUGCUGCUCCCUGUCCAGCAGGAUCCUGUGGGCACUGCGAGGUGGGUUCCUGGCUCUGAUGGAGGCCGUGCUCAUGCGAGGUCAGAAGUGUCCCCUAUGCACUCCUAACCUGAUGAUUGAGCUGUGGGUGUCUAGAUGAAUCCUCUUGUUCUGUUCACCCAGUGUUCUGUCAGAGCUGGGGUGAGUCUGGCUGGAGGUUUCUAUGGUUUCCUGCUGGUUGCUAAGGAAAAGGAUCGCUCUGCCUCUGGGUCUUGGUGACUUUCUCUUUGCCCUGUCCUAGGCACCGGAGCCCAGCAGAACAUAAUGCUCGUUGUUUCCCAGCCCACUACAAUGGCCAGGGCAUAAUUUGUGACUCCUGUCACGGCUGGGCUGGGCGCCUGCCACUCUCUUUUUUUCUAAGGCCUCUUUGAAGAAUGAGACCAAAGAGCCUUCAAGCAGGAGUUUGUGUGUUUACUGCACUCCCCGCCCCCUCACUUGCUGUUUCCUUUAGAGCUCCAAGUCAUUUUAACGAUUUAUUUCAUGCACUUUACGUAGCAAGAAGCUGUAGCAACAGCUGUGUCUAUGAAUCCUUACCAGGCAGCCCUCAGUAUAUUUUGGUCUGUCUGUGUAUUGUCCCUGGCUCAGUUAAAUAAAUCUCUGCUGGAGGAAGGGACUUUACAGCUUAGUGGCAAAGGGCUGGCGGAUGGGAAUAUCAACAAGACACUUAGUGGGCCACUGGAUCCUGGAAUAGCAGUGCCUCUGGCACAAAGCUGCUCCCAGCAGCACAGCCGGGGGCAGAUCCAGCGCGGGCUCCUUGUUGCUGUCAGCAGGGACGGCGUCUCCAUCCAGCAGCAGUUAAAGCACGUCUGGGACAGAUGCUGCCCUUGUCACGCUGCUGUGGAUCCAGGGCUCGGCUGUGAACCGUGCUGGGCUCAUUUCCACGGGUGCCAUUUGGGAUCUGGGCAUGGAGGUGCUGCCCACGGCUGUGUGCUCUCGCAGGGAGCUCAGCUGGGGUCUGCAGAGUCCUGCAGCACCAGGCAGGAUUCAGUCCAUCACAGCAUCACAGGAUUGGGCACAAGUUUACUUUUGCAUAUGGGAUCAAAGCUUAAAAUAUCAGCUGGCCUUUCUCUCACUCCUGACUUUUCUAAAACAUCUGAACAAUUUCUUCUUUAGCUCUGUUAAAAUCAAUCAAUCUGACAUUUAAAUUGUAUGUGAAUUUGAUAAAUAAAGACAGGUUACAAAAUGCCA
RNAcentral lists this long non-coding RNA (1357 nucleotides) under Junco hyemalis (dark-eyed junco). Its description in RNAcentral is "lncRNA (ENSJHYG00000011829.1)". The record is from RNAcentral. Lineage: Eukaryota; Metazoa; Chordata; Aves; Passeriformes; Passerellidae.